Girardinichthys multiradiatus is the source of this 588-nucleotide long non-coding RNA. RefSeq lists it as uncharacterized. Lineage: Eukaryota; Metazoa; Chordata; Actinopteri; Cyprinodontiformes; Goodeidae. The record is from RefSeq and is a predicted model, not a curated record. The transcript has 4 exons.
CAGGAUCCUCAGGUUUGGCACUUUGCGAUACAAUUCCAACCUGGGAAUUCAAAUACACAGCUGAAUGAGAGAUAACUGCAGAAGAAAGACGGCGAGACUGCAGGAACAUCACUGUGUCUGAGUGAACCCACCUUCCCACACUGUUUACAUUUCCCCUCCUGCCGUCGCCUGUGGACCCAGUGGUGUCUCAGUACGUUCUGUUGGCAGACAAUUGCAACCCAGAGCUGUGAUUCCUCAUGUUUACAACCACACAUACAUGCUGACAUGAAGACACGCAGAAACACUCACAUCUCUGAGGCAUCUGGAACCUCCCUCCCUGAAGUUGCUCUAUGCAGCCAGUGUGAACAACGAUCUUACAGGCGGCACAUUUCCUCCUGGGGGAUGACUUCUUGAAGGACACACAGGGAGCACACAGCAGAGAGCGAGUGUGCACGUGCAUUGGUUGUUUGUUCUUUGUUGCCUUGUGACCGACUGGCGACCAGCUGGCGACCGGGUAUCCUGGCAAGACACAGCAAGUCCAGGACACUUUUCAUUUUCACAGCUAAACGAAGUUUACGUGACAAAAUGUGAAAUGUCUGAUAUUCAUAC